UACGUAGGGUGCGAGCGUUAAUCGGAAUUACUGGGCGUAAAGCGUGCGUAGGCGGUUUGCCGUGUCCUGUGUGAAAGCCCCGGGCUCAACUGGGGAGGGUCACGCGAUACUGAUCGACUCGAAGGCAGGAGAGGGUAGUGGAAUUCCUGGUGUAGCGGUGAAAUGCGUAGAUAUCAGGAGGAACACCUGUGGUGUAGACGGCUCUCUGGACCGCAACUGACGCUGAGACACGAAAGCGUGGGUAGCAAACAGG
This 253-nucleotide ribosomal RNA is filed under the name uncultured bacterium. Its description in RNAcentral is "partial 16S ribosomal RNA". It matches the Rfam family "Bacterial small subunit ribosomal RNA", at positions 524 to 776 of the family's 1533-position model. The record is from RNAcentral.